GACGUAGGGCGCGAGCGUUGUCCGGAAUUAUUGGGCGUAAAGAGCUCGUAGGCGGCUUGUCACGUCGGGUGUGAAAGCCCGGGGCUUAACCCCGGGUCUGCAUUCAAUACGGGCUAGCUAGAGUGUGGUAGGGGAGAUCGGAAUUCCUGGUGUAGCGGUGAAAUGCGCAGAUAUCAGGAGGAACACCAGCGGCGAAGGCGGCGCUCUGGGCCGGAACUGACGCUGAGGAGCGAAAGCGUGGGUGGCAAACAGG
RNAcentral lists this ribosomal RNA (253 nucleotides) under uncultured bacterium. RNAcentral's name for it is "partial 16S ribosomal RNA". It matches the Rfam family "Bacterial small subunit ribosomal RNA", at positions 524 to 776 of the family's 1533-position model. The record is from RNAcentral.